AGAACGAACGCUGGCGGCAUGCCUAAUACAUGCAAGUCGAACGAACUCUUCGGAGUUAGUGGCGCACGGGUGCGUAACGCGUGGGAAUCUGCCCCUUGGUUCGGAAUAACAGUUGGAAACGACUGCUAAUACCGGAUGAUGACGAAAGUCCAAAGAUUUAUCGCCAAGGGAUGAGCCCGCGUAGGAUUAGCUAGUUGGUGAGGUAAGGCUCACCAAGGCAACGAUCCUUAGCUGGUCUGAGAGGAUGAUCAGCCACACUGGGACUGAGACACGGCCAGACUCCGUACGGGAGGCAGCAGUAGGGAACUAUUGGACAAGUGGGACGAAAGCCUAGGAUCCAGCAA
Molecule: ribosomal RNA, 344 nt
Filed under: uncultured soil bacterium
Lineage: Bacteria
Description: bacterial SSU rRNA
Rfam family: Bacterial small subunit ribosomal RNA
Source: RNAcentral